UCAGCCUGCCCAGUGACAAAGUUUAACGGCCGCGGUACCCUAACCGUGCGAAGGUAGCAUAAUCACUUGUUCUUUAAAUGAGGACUCGUAUCAACGGCACUACGAGGGCUAUACUGUCUCCUUUUUCCAAUCAGUGAAACUGAUCUCCCCGUGAAGAAGCGGGGAUGAAAAUAUAAGACGAGAAGACCCCAUGGAGCUUUAGACUCACCAUGCACCUCUAUGCCCUUAUAUCACUAAACAUAAGACACCUGCAUGAUAGUUUUAGGUUGGGGGGACCACGGAGUAUAAUAUAACCUCCACAACAAAUGGGCUAACACCCUUAUCCACGAGACACAACUCUAAGAAUUAUUAAACUAAUGCUUAUGACCCGAUAAUCGAUCAAUGAACCAAGUUACCCUGGGGAUAACAGCGCAAUCUACUUCAAGAGCCCAUAUCGACAAGUAGGUUUACGACCUCGAUGUUGGAUCAGGGUAUCCCGGUGGUGCAGCCGCUACUAAUGGUUCGUUUGUUCAACGAUUAAAACCCUACGUGA
Molecule: ribosomal RNA, 532 nt
Filed under: Pseudorana sangzhiensis
Lineage: Eukaryota; Metazoa; Chordata; Amphibia; Anura; Ranidae
Description: partial large subunit ribosomal RNA
Rfam family: Bacterial large subunit ribosomal RNA
Source: RNAcentral